UCAAUUCUACUGCUUGUAGAGUUUAAGUUUCAGUGCCGUAUCUGGAACUUUUGGUUCUCCAAAUAGUUAGUAUACUCUGAUCGUGAAAGAGUUGUAUUUUUUUUUGAAUGAUUUUAAUCAUUCUAGGACCGACAUCUUCCCUCCAUUUGUUGCAUGGCUUCAUCAUUGCCAAGAUUCGUUGCAUCAAGUACAUCCUAAUUUUCUCCAACAUUGACAAGAUGGGUUUCGCCCAUGCACUCAAGGUAGUACCGUUGAAGGACUUCAAUCAAUUGUUUAGGAGCAUAUCACUGCAAUUUCCCAAUUUGAAAUGCGAUUUACUCUAAUGCUCUACCAGUUUCAACUGAAACCAAUCGUAUGCAGUAGGGUCCAAGUCACACAUUAUAUUCAUCCAUGUCACCCAUGCAGCUUCAGUUGUAGCUCUUGCUGCUAACCAGAGUAAAUUCUUCAAAGCAAGGCCCUUGUAUGUUGCACUAAAGUUAUUGUAAAGAUUUUGCACACGGGUACGAUACUCAACAGGUUUAAACAUCUGUUCAAGUGUUUGUACAAGCCCCAUCUUCUUAUUAGAUAUGAAAACCCAUUGUGGAUGUUAACUCUGCCCAAAUCAUCUCUCAACAACUCCAAAAACCACCUCAAAUUUUCACCGUUCUCAAUCCUCCAUUACAGCAUACGCUAUAGGAUACACCCCCAUUAUUAUCUUCUAUGCCUACUGCUGUCAAUAAAUGACAUUUUCGGUCAAUUUUAAAAAACAACUAUCCAACCUUAUCACCCUCAUGUUUUCACUCAUGAAUCCCACCUUAGGUGCUUCUAAAUAUAUGUUCAAUCUUUAAACUGUUCAACAUGAC
RNAcentral lists this long non-coding RNA (842 nucleotides) under Olea europaea (common olive). RNAcentral describes it as "long non-coding RNA (OEUR_LNC014236)". The record is from RNAcentral. Lineage: Eukaryota; Viridiplantae; Streptophyta; Magnoliopsida; Lamiales; Oleaceae.